This 369-nucleotide ribosomal RNA is filed under the name uncultured Acidobacteriota bacterium. Its description in RNAcentral is "bacterial SSU rRNA". It matches the Rfam family "Bacterial small subunit ribosomal RNA", at positions 1011 to 1374 of the family's 1533-position model. The record is from RNAcentral. Lineage: Bacteria; Pseudomonadati; Acidobacteriota.
CGAUCCGGGUAACCGGCUCCUGCCUGCAAGGUGCUGCAUGGCUGUCGUCAGCUCGUGUCGUGAGAUAAUAAAAAAUAAGUCCCGCAACGAGCGCAACCCUUACCGUGAGUUACCACCAUUCAGUUGGGGACUCUCGCGGAACUGCCGGUGAUAAACCGGAGGAAGGUGGGGAUGACGUCAAGUCCUCAUGGCCUUUAUGUCCAGGGCUACACACGUGCUACAAUGGCUGGUACAAACCGCUGCGAAGUCGCGAGACGGAGCCAAUCGGAAAAAACCAGUCUCAGUUCGGAUUGGAACAGAUCUUUGACGACUCCAUGAAGUUGGAAUCGCUAGUAAUCGCAGAUCAGCAUGCUGCGGUGAAUACGUUCC